GUGAACGCUGGCGGUAGGCCUAACACCUGCAAGUCGAACGGCAGCACCGUAAGAGCUUGCUCUUACGGGUGGCGAGUGGCGGACGGGUGAGGAAUACAUCGGAAUCUACUUUUUCGUGGGGGAUAACGUAGGGAAACUUACGCUAAUACCGCAUACGACCUACGGGUGAAAGCAGGGGAUCUUCGGACCUUGCGCGAUUGAAUGAGCCGAUGUCGGAUUAGCUAGCUGGCGGGGUAAAGGCCCACCAAGGCGACGAUCCGUAGCUGGUCUGAGAGGAUGAUCAGCCACACUGGAACUGAGACACGGUCCAGACUCCUACGGGAGGCAGCAGUGGGGAAUAUUGGACAAUGGGCGCAAGCCUGAUCCAGCCAUACCGCGUGGGUGAAGAAGGCCUUCGGGUUGUAAAGCCCUUUUGUUGGGAAAGAAAAGCAGCAGGUUAAUACCCCGCUGUUCUGACGGUACCCAAAGAAUAAGCACCGGCUAACUUCGUG
RNAcentral lists this ribosomal RNA (491 nucleotides) under uncultured bacterium. RNAcentral describes it as "partial 16S ribosomal RNA". It matches the Rfam family "Bacterial small subunit ribosomal RNA", at positions 29 to 507 of the family's 1533-position model. The record is from RNAcentral.